This is a non-coding RNA of Acanthosepion pharaonis, 106 nucleotides long. The record is from the annotation of a GenBank genome assembly. NCBI's taxonomy places the organism in Eukaryota, Metazoa, Mollusca, Cephalopoda, Sepiida, Sepiidae.
GAGACCAUAUAGUGUUGAAACACUGGUUUCCAUACAAUCACUGAAGUUAAGCAAUGUCAAGCCUGGUAAGUAUCUUGAUGGGUGACCAUUAGGGAAUACCAAAUGC